RNAcentral lists this transfer RNA (82 nucleotides) under Anaerolineae bacterium. RNAcentral's name for it is "tRNA-Leu". It matches the Rfam family "tRNA". From Rfam's summary of the family: Transfer RNA (tRNA) molecules are approximately 80 nucleotides in length. Their secondary structure includes four short double-helical elements and three loops (D, anti-codon, and T loops). Further hydrogen bonds mediate the characteristic L-shaped molecular structure. tRNAs have two regions of fundamental functional importance: the anti-codon, which is responsible for specific mRNA codon recognition, and the 3' end, to which the tRNAs corresponding amino acid is attached (by aminoacyl-tRNA synthetases). tRNAs cope with the degeneracy of the genetic code in two manners: having more than one tRNA (with a specific anti-codon) for a particular amino acid; and 'wobble' base-pairing, i.e. permitting non-standard base-pairing at the 3rd anti-codon position. RNAcentral also lists the same sequence under 1 other name. Lineage: Bacteria; Bacillati; Chloroflexota; Anaerolineae. The record is from RNAcentral.
GCCUCGGUGGCGGAACUGGCAGACGCGCACGCUUGAGGGGUGUGUGCCGCAAGGCGUGAAGGUUCAAAUCCUUUCCGAGGCA